Molecule: ribosomal RNA, 253 nt
Filed under: uncultured bacterium
Lineage: Bacteria
Description: partial 16S ribosomal RNA
Rfam family: Bacterial small subunit ribosomal RNA
Source: RNAcentral
UACGGAGGGGGGCUAGCGUUGUUCGGAAUUACUGGGCGUAAAGCGCACGUAGGCGAUUGGAAAGUCAGAGGUGAAAUCCCAGGGCUCAACCUUGGAACUGCCUUUGAAACUCCCAGUCUUGAGUUCGAGAGAGGUGAGUGGAAUUCCGAGUGUAGAGGUGAAAUUCGUAGAUAUUCGGAGGAACACCAGUGGCGAAGGCGGCUCACUGGCUCGGUACUGACGCUGAGGUGCGAAAGCGUGGGGAGCAAACAGG